GGCUCCAUAAUGUAGUGGUUAGCACGUCUGCUUUACAUGCAGAAGGUCCUGGGUUUGCACCCCAGGUUGAGCCA
This 74-nucleotide transfer RNA is filed under the name Pteropus alecto (black flying fox). It matches the Rfam family "tRNA". From Rfam's summary of the family: Transfer RNA (tRNA) molecules are approximately 80 nucleotides in length. Their secondary structure includes four short double-helical elements and three loops (D, anti-codon, and T loops). Further hydrogen bonds mediate the characteristic L-shaped molecular structure. tRNAs have two regions of fundamental functional importance: the anti-codon, which is responsible for specific mRNA codon recognition, and the 3' end, to which the tRNAs corresponding amino acid is attached (by aminoacyl-tRNA synthetases). tRNAs cope with the degeneracy of the genetic code in two manners: having more than one tRNA (with a specific anti-codon) for a particular amino acid; and 'wobble' base-pairing, i.e. permitting non-standard base-pairing at the 3rd anti-codon position. The record is from Rfam by way of RNAcentral. Lineage: Eukaryota; Metazoa; Chordata; Mammalia; Chiroptera; Pteropodidae.